This 81-nucleotide transfer RNA is filed under the name Gymnopilus junonius. It matches the Rfam family "tRNA". Rfam says of the family: Transfer RNA (tRNA) molecules are approximately 80 nucleotides in length. Their secondary structure includes four short double-helical elements and three loops (D, anti-codon, and T loops). Lineage: Eukaryota; Fungi; Basidiomycota; Agaricomycetes; Agaricales; Galerinaceae. The record is from Rfam by way of RNAcentral.
GUCGGUAUCGAUUAGGGGUUAAAUCACUUCGUUGUGGUGUCUCAUUCCGAAGAGCCGCUGGUUCGAUUCCAGCUACCGACA